GGAAAUAUUGGAUUGCUAAUUGCACCACAUGUGUUUUUCUUUGAAACAAACUUGCUUUGGCGGUGGGCCCAGCCUGCCGCCAGAGGUCUAAACUUACAACCAAUUUUUUAUCAACUUGUCACACCAGAUUAUUACUUAAUAGUCAAAACUUUCAACAACGGAUCUCUUGGUUCUCGCAUCGAUGAAGAACGCAGCGAAAUGCGAUACGUAAUAUGAAUUGCAGAUAUUCGUGAAUCAUCGAAUCUUUGAACGCACAUUGCGCCCUCUGGUAUUCCGGAGGGCAUGCCUGUUUGAGCGUCGUUUCUCCCUCAAACCGCUGGGUUUGGUGUUGAGCAAUACGACUUGGGUUUGCUUGAAAGACGGUAGUGGUAAGGCGGGAUCGCUUUGACAAUGGCUUAGGUCUAACCAAAAACAUUGCUUGCGGCGGUAACGUCCACCACGUAUAUCUUCAAACUUUGACCUCAAAUCAGGUAGGACUACCCGCUGAACUUAAGCAUAUCAAUAAGCGGAGGAA
Molecule: ribosomal RNA, 514 nt
Filed under: Candida albicans
Lineage: Eukaryota; Fungi; Ascomycota; Pichiomycetes; Serinales; Debaryomycetaceae
Description: eukaryotic LSU rRNA
Rfam family: 5.8S ribosomal RNA (bases 147-300)
Source: RNAcentral